This is a small nuclear RNA of Gorilla gorilla gorilla (western lowland gorilla), 104 nucleotides long. The record is from Ensembl. NCBI's taxonomy places the organism in Eukaryota, Metazoa, Chordata, Mammalia, Primates, Hominidae.
GUGCUCACUUGGGCAGCACAUAUACUAAAAUCGGAAUGAUACAGAGAUUAGCAUGGGCCCUGUGCAUGAAUGACAUGCAAAUUUGUGAAGCAUUCCAUAUUUUU